Molecule: ribosomal RNA, 459 nt
Filed under: uncultured bacterium
Lineage: Bacteria
Description: partial 16S ribosomal RNA
Rfam family: Bacterial small subunit ribosomal RNA
Source: RNAcentral
CCUACGGGAGGCAGCAGUGAGGAAUAUUGGUCAAUGGGCGCGAGCCUGAACCAGCCAAGUCGCGUGAGGGAAGACGGUCCUAUGGAUUGUAAACCUCUUUUGUCGGGGAGCAAAAGACGCCACGCGUGGCGUUCCGAGAGUACCCGAAGAACAAGCAUCGGCUAACUCCGUGCCAGCAGCCGCGUUAAUACGGAGGAUGCGAGCGUUAUCCGGAUUUAUUGGGUUUAAAGGGUGCGCAGGCGGAAGAUCAAGUCAGCGGUAAAAUUGAGGGGCUCAACCUCUUCGAGCCGUUGAAACUGGUGUUCUUGAGUGAGUGAGAAGUAUGCGGAAUGCGUGGUGUAGCGGUGAAAUGCAUAGAUAUCACGCAGAACUCUGAUUGCGAAGGCAGCAUACCGGCGCUCAACUGACGCUCAUGCACGAAAGUGUGGGUAUCGAACAGGAUUAGAUACCCCAGUAGUC